RNAcentral lists this ribosomal RNA (397 nucleotides) under Salmonella enterica. Its description in RNAcentral is "partial 23S ribosomal RNA". It matches the Rfam family "Bacterial large subunit ribosomal RNA", at positions 161 to 596 of the family's 2925-position model. RNAcentral also lists the same sequence under 2 other names. Lineage: Bacteria; Pseudomonadati; Pseudomonadota; Gammaproteobacteria; Enterobacterales; Enterobacteriaceae. The record is from RNAcentral.
AAUCCAUAGGUUAAUGAGGCGAACCGGGGGAACUGAAACAUCUAAGUACCCCGAGGAAAAGAAAUCAACCGAGAUUCCCCCAGUAGCGGCGAGCGAACGGGGAGGAGCCCAGAGCCUGAAUCAGCAUGUGUGUUAGUGGAAGCGUCUGGAAAGGCGCGCGAUACAGGGUGACAGCCCCGUACACAAAAGCGCAUGUGCUGUGAGCUCGAUGAGUAGGGCGGGACACGUGGUAUCCUGUCUGAAUAUGGGGGGACCAUCCUCCAAGGCUAAAUACUCCUGACUGACCGAUAGUGAACCAGUACCGUGAGGGAAAGGCGAAAAGAACCCCGGCGAGGGGAGUGAAAAAGAACCUGAAACCGUGUACGUACAAGCAGUGGGAGCACCCUUUGGGGUGUGA